GCCAACAGUUUCAAAUGCAGAUGUUUGAUCUGAGGCAUGUAUAUAACAACAUUCUCAGUCACCACCAACAUGUGUGAGUUCAUUCUCUAAAUUUCUGAAUUCAUAGAUUUUCUGGGUCACAGAAUUUCACCCAGAAUUUGUGGGUCACAGCUUGUUUUUUAAGUUUCGUACAUGCUAUAUAUUUAGAGGAACAUGAAUACUACCAGGACUUUAUACAUCAGUUUUCUAUCUGACUGCACUGGAUGUUUCCAAAGCAGAUUUAUGAAACCUUAAAUUAAACAGGGAUAGGAUAAUCUGCAUUAGGUCUCCUUGCAAUAACUAAUAGAAAAGAUUGUCUUAAACUCUGAAGCAUCCUGUUUAGUAUUCCUUUGUAUUGAUAGUAAUCAUUUCGAUUCCAGAUGGUAUUGUUACCCUUUAAAAUGUUCAGUCAGUUCUUAUAUCAUUGUUUUUUGAACUGUAGCCACAGCCUCUGCAGUUCAAUUACAUGUAGUGUGUAGAAUAAUUCUGUAAUAUCUUUUUAGAAUAAGUAGCCAGAAGAACUGAUAUGCAUCUUUGCUGCUGCUAUUAACACUGAUGUGUCUUAACAAACCAUUCCAGCUGUCAUGAAAAUCCCUCAGGUGCAGACUGAAUUUUCUGGAGACAAACAGCUCCACCCCAGAACAGCCAGUAAGCCAGAAGCUACCAUGAUUGUCUGAAUUAACACUGAAUGAAAACCUGGGUCUCUUAUAUCCCAGGUCUUUUCUCAAAGGGAAAAAAAGAAGAACUUAUGGAUUGUCUUAGGACAAUCAAAGACAUCCCAGUCUUAUACACUGUAAUAAAACAUGUCCAAUAUCAGACCCAGUUUAAACAGCCUGUAGGCAAAAACACCUCUUCUGUUGUCCUGCUUACAGCAACAAUUAGAAGAAUGAAGUUUUCAAUAAGAGAUGCAAGCAUGAGUCCCUGAUAACUGAGUGUCAGAGACUAUUUGUCAAACACCAGGUAAAUAAACAAAUCUGGUUCCAGUGGAGCUGCUUCA
RNAcentral lists this long non-coding RNA (1015 nucleotides) under Anas platyrhynchos platyrhynchos (common mallard). Its description in RNAcentral is "lncRNA (ENSAPLG00000026390.1)". Lineage: Eukaryota; Metazoa; Chordata; Aves; Anseriformes; Anatidae. The record is from RNAcentral.